This 68-nucleotide transfer RNA is filed under the name Marmota monax (woodchuck). RNAcentral's name for it is "tRNA.Ala". The stretch from base 5 to 65 matches the Rfam family "tRNA", at positions 6 to 65 of the family's 71-position model. Rfam says of the family: Transfer RNA (tRNA) molecules are approximately 80 nucleotides in length. Their secondary structure includes four short double-helical elements and three loops (D, anti-codon, and T loops). The record is from RNAcentral. Lineage: Eukaryota; Metazoa; Chordata; Mammalia; Rodentia; Sciuridae.
GGAUUGUGGCUCAGUGGUAGAGUGCUUGCCUAGCAUGCAUGAGGCACUGGGUUCGAUCUCUAGCACCA